RNAcentral lists this transfer RNA (70 nucleotides) under Camelus bactrianus (Bactrian camel). It matches the Rfam family "tRNA". From Rfam's summary of the family: Transfer RNA (tRNA) molecules are approximately 80 nucleotides in length. Their secondary structure includes four short double-helical elements and three loops (D, anti-codon, and T loops). The record is from Rfam by way of RNAcentral. RNAcentral also lists the same sequence under 2 other names. Lineage: Eukaryota; Metazoa; Chordata; Mammalia; Artiodactyla; Camelidae.
GAGGGUAUAGCUCAGUGGUAGAGCCCAUGCCUAGCAUGCACAAGGUCCUGGGUUCAAUCCAGUACUUCCA